Molecule: ribosomal RNA, 528 nt
Filed under: Triticum aestivum (bread wheat)
Lineage: Eukaryota; Viridiplantae; Streptophyta; Magnoliopsida; Poales; Poaceae
Description: partial small subunit ribosomal RNA
Source: RNAcentral
AUGGAAUUCUUAACGAUGUUCAGUGUCGGUGUGAAUUGUCGGAGUCAUACGAAGCAUACAGAAAACAACAAGAUAGAUGGCAUUCUGGUCCGGUGCAGUUGUUUAGACUCUGCUUUGUGGACAUUAUCAAAUCAAAGGGUCAUCAUUUAUGUAUUUCCUCUUUGGAGGGCGAUCUUGUUGCCCACUGAGAAGCAAUCCAAGCAGCAGAGAGUAGGGUCUACGCCGAACCUCGACUCCCUAUCAAAGGAGGGGAAGUGGCUGCGAGCACGGCGUUGGGUCGAUGGUGUCGUGCCUCGGCAGCCGAGAUCAGGCAAGGCAGAUGGGAAGCAACAGUGUCGCCUCUCCCCCGAGCUCCAGAUCCAUGGCAGCAGCAAUGAGGUGAGCAGCCGCAAAGGUUCCCACCUGAACAGAUCGAGCUGUGACACCGGUACAACCACAACCUCCAAUACUACUACGACUGAUAGCUAUCUUCUACCCAAAUUGAUCAGGUUGGGGAUGGAGGGUGGUAAGAGGACCAUGUUAUCAUAG